GACAUCAAGAAACAGAGUAUAAGACACACAAAGAUGGAGAUCCUUGUCAGUUUCUUAUGGCAACAUGUUAAAAGAAAAUCCUCCAGUUCAAUCUGAUCAACCUCCAUUAUACCCAGCGGUGGAAUAAGUAUUCAGAUCCUCUAAGUAAAACACUUUGCAAGUGUAUUAUUAUCAGAAAAAUUUAGUUAAAGUAUCAAAAGUAAGUAAGUACUCAUUAGCUGAAGAAACUGAAUUUCUGAAGCUAAACUGGAUUUCUGGCAUUAAAAGUUGAAUAGUACCAAUAAUGGUUUAAGGAUUGUUAAAAAGGUGACGCCAAACUGGAUUGUUGGCUUUAAGUUGUAUGAAGAAGCAGCUGAAGGAGUUUGAAUAGUUGGAAAUAGGGGAAAGGGUGGAAGUAGUAUGAAUGGGAUUUAAAAGUUGAAUAAUACCCAUGAUGUAUAAAGAUUUUAAGGUUUGAAUGGAGUUUCUAGCUGAAAUACAUGAAAAAGUUGAAUUAAUGUGAGAAAGUCCCAAGUGUCGUGAAGAUAUGAGUUGAAAAAGUUUAGAACGGAGUAUGAAGAGUUGGAAAAGUGGAAAAUUAGUAGGCCUGGGAUUUAAAAGUUGAAUGCUGCCCCAUAAUGUAUGAAAAAUGUGGAGCAUUUUAAGGUUUGAAUGUUUAUUUGUUGAGUUUGUAGUUGAAAAUAUGAAGUAGAUAAAUCUUAAUAAAAUACUUGACAAUUUUUGAAAAUGUCUAAGACCUGUGUGUCAAACUGACUCAUCUCAAAUCAGCUGUGUGUCCCCAAUCAAAGGUUAUGUGUAUGUGUGUGUGUGGGUGCCUGCUCGGACACACAUGUAUGCCUACAUGUGUUUCUCCUAUACUGUAUGGUUGGGCUCUUAUUUGGAAAAACUGGGUCCAUCGCUAGUUUCCUGGUAACAUACAGCGACCGCUGGGCGCUUUUUUACAAGGCUCAUUCUGAGCUUCCUGUUAGAAUACAGAUAUUCUAUGGAGCUUUUAUUUUGAAAAAAGAGCCCCAUCCUGAGUUCCCUGUUGAGAUACAGUUACUGUCUGAGGCUUUUAUUAUGAAAAACUAAUCCUAGGUUCCUAAUAACAUACAGUGACAGUUGGGAACUUUUAUUUUGAAAAGCCUGGCUCAUCCUGACUUUCCUGUUAUGAUAAGGUUACCAUCUUGGGCUUUUAAUUUGAAAAUCGGAAAUUACACUGUGUGUGUGUAAGUUAUUAUUUGAAAGAAUACAUUAAUAAAUGACCCUUGUUCUAGUAGGUUAUUUCUUAUUUCACCAUUUUAAUUCUACUUAAUUCUCCACCUUAUUUUAGUGUUUACUCACAAAGUACUUUAAUCUGCUCUAUUGUAAGUGAACGCCGUUCAGAGUAACUUCAAAGUAUGAAUUAAGCAAUAAUACAUGAGAGGGCGUGCUUUACCGUCAUUAUUGGCACAAUAAGUGCACGGCAAGUGCCUCAGUCCUGAUUGCAUCACUGCAGAGCAUCACUGAAGUGCCAUUAAAGAUGGCUGUAAAGCUCACCCUCUUGUGUAAUAUUGCCAUUAUAGAAUGGUUACCAACAAAAUAAAAGAUAUAAUCAAAAUGUAUUCAUAUUGUGGGGCAAUUUGCUCUCAAAAUUAUUUAUUUUUUUUGCUAGUGUUAUCUGUUUCCCUGGAAAUACAUGGGGUCUGACUAAUAACUGGAAAACAAUCAGUCACGUCAGUAGACUCCCAUGUAAUGAAACCAAGUUUACUACUCCAGCAAGUAGGCCAAACCUUAGUAAUGACCUAGCAACAGAGAGGAUUUUUAGUCCCUGUUGAGUCAGCCAGCCAACUUGAGCUAACGGUAAUGCUUUCUAGAGAUUGUGGGAUUUCCCAAACUACAUACCACACAUAAACACAAAACUGCCUUGCUAUAAUCUUGUCGUAACUAAGAUAUCUAGUGAAUUUUUUUCCCCGAUGGACAGAUUUAGCUACGACGUCCGCAAACUUCACAUGUAUUUUUAAGCUAGUAGUGCCGUGUCACAGACUCACCGGCACAGCUGAUGGAGGAUAGAGUGUCUAGUAACAUCAAGACUGAACAGAGUUUCCGUGUGAUCCAAACAUUUCCAAUAAUAACUCCAAAAGUCAAUAAAAAAAAGAUAGAUUCACAACAUAUUUUUAUCUAACGAAAUAUUCUGUUUCAAUGCAUAUUUGUUGCUGUUUAGCCUUUCAAAAACAAAAUUUUCACUGCGGUCACAAAAUUGUUUGCUCUCUGGCUUGCCACACACAAGGGAGGCACACACCUGUAUUAACGGGGCGGUCUAGCAGCAAUUUAACAGCAUCAUAAAAUAUAUUCAUUAAAGAAAGUUGAUUUAAUUAUUCUUUGUAAUAGUUGCAAAAUCCACAGCUUGCUUAGUGUUUUUCAGAUAGUCCUGGAAACAUUUGACAGCCCAUGAAGUUUACCGGAAGGUACUGACUUAAUUCCUAGACUUCUCUAAUUGAUUGAGCUCUUAAUUUGACAAUGCGACACAUCUCUCGUUUUUUGGUUUUCUGUUCUUCUCAUCCUCUUCCAACCAUUAAUCAAAACUAAGUCCACCAUAUAAAUUAAAAUUAACAACAAAAAUAUUCAUUUUGUAUCAGUAUUGUAGCCUACUGGUUUUUGCUCCAGCUCUGGCAGUUACAAUGUUUCCAUGGAAAUGACGGAGUAAUAUUCUUAGUGAUGAGCACAGUGUGCUGUCAUGCUGAUUUGAUCACGUUCUAAAUGUAUAGUUGACCAAUAAGAUUGCUUGGUCAGAACCACUUGUUGUAUAAUGGGAUUUAAAAGUAGUAUAGACCUCAUAUUGCAUGAACGAUGUGGAACACUUGUACAGUAGUUCAUAUCUUAAGUAUGAAUUAAGAGAUAAGACUUGAAAAAGUGUGAGGAUGUCUAGCUCCUGUAUAUGUGUGUGUAUCAAACUGCACUAAUUAGCUCAUCUCAAUCAGCUGUGUGUCUCCCCUGAGAUCAAAGGUUGCCAUGGUGAUGCUAACUGCUGUGUGUGACUCCAGGCUCAGAGAGUUCAUAUCUUUUAGAUCUUAUAGAUUUUAGUUGAGGCACACCUCUCAAAGUUCUGCUUUUAGCUCAAAGACCGUAACUCUUAUCGCCUAAGUUAAAACACUGUAAGAGAGAGGAGACACUGCUGAAGGGACUGUGUAAGAUUUGUGUGUGUAGUGUCAAAAUUUGGGAAUUAGAGCAGGUUAGAAAUGUCCCCGUUUCUGCCUCCCUCCUGAAAAUUAUGGUCUCAGUUAAUAUGGAAGUCUGUGCGGCAGUUGGCUGGGAGUGCUGUCACUUUGAAGCUGACUGUGCCAACUGUGUGAGUCUGUUUGAUUCCAUAGUUUCAUGUUUGCGACAGGCACAAAUUUUCCUACGGUUUGAUGUAAAAUUAUGUAUGAAGAGUGAAAAUUGUGGGUAUAACAGCAAAUUAAAGAGAAAUUUUUAAGAAGAUUUUAAAGCUCCUCUGCACUCUAGCUAUGAACAUUCCACCCAAUACACACUAAUGCAAAAAUCUCAGAAGGGCUGAAAAUUGUCAACUCACAAAAUGGCCUCUAAACUUAUAGAUCUAUGAAAAGCAGUGCAGUUUCUUUGUUGUGGUCUGUUGUGGAUUCGUCCAGGAAUGCUAGCUACAAACGACACUCAGAGCAUCAUGCUCGCUCCACCAUCCCUCAUCUGUUCAUCUUUCCCACCAUGCUUCAGGUAACAUCCCAUGGACUGGUGAGCACAAACUAAUAUUGCAUAUGGGUUGUUUUUUUUUUUGUAGUUUGCACUAGCAGGUGAAGCUGCCAUUUGUUUUAGGCCGUAAGCUCCCGAGCCACACUUAGGCCUACAUUGUGUUUUUGUUUUUAAAGCACAUACUUUUUUUUUAUUUCAGUUGCAGUGAGAGUGUGGUAGCAAGUGAAAGGUUAUUUUCCAAACUGAAUUUAAAGGGUAAUUUGUGAAAAUGUGAGUGAAAAUUUAACUUUUUGGAUAAGGUCCAGAGUUAUAAGGGAAACACACUUGACUCUUCUAGAAUACAACAUUAUAGAAAUACAUAUUUUAAUUUUAUACUUAUAUCCACUUGGUACUUAAUUUAUCUUGCCUGUAUUAUAGUGUAUUAUAUUCUGAUUUGCUUAGAACUUCUAUCCCUGUGUGCACUGACGUGAUAGUGAGCAGCUGUAACAAAAGAGUUUCAAUAAAGUAUUUCUGAUUCUGAUAUUAUCUGAAUAUAUAGUAUAGAAAGUAGUUAAAAAUAGCUUUUCUUUGACCAGCCACAACAUAACAUGCUGCAUCCACAAUAAUGCAUCUGUAAUAAUAACCUCAUAAUAUAAUUUCACACUGACAGAGGUCAUUCUUCUGCCAAUGGAGUACUUUUACUUUAGUAUAAUUUUUCUGCUAAUACUACUGUACUUUAACCUAAGAUUUUGAACACAGAUUUUACCUACAGGUAUUGCUACUUUUACUUAAGUAAAAGACCUGAAUAUAUAGACUGAAUGUUUAUUGUCCAGUUGGUGUGAACUUUAAUCAUACAGCAUUUACCUGUGGAAAAAACAAUAUUGUGCCUGCCCACAUACUCUGUUAACUCGUUUCAUCUUUUGUUUCUUAUUACCCUUCCUCCAUUUAUUGUCACAUUUAGAUUGGUCAAGAUCCUGGCAACAGCUGUAAAGUGUUCUUCUGUGCCAUGUAAGUAAUUUCAAUGUAAUAUUUUGGUGGGAGGGGCUUAGCAGAGUGAUACAAGCAGCAGAGAGAGACGUGGAAGGUUUUGCGUGUAUGUUCAGACUGCCUACUGCAGCUUUAAUACACUGUGAUUUACUGGAAAGGCUGAAAUGCUCACAACUCAAGUCUCUAAUGUUGAAAUUAUAUUCAUCCAUCCGUCUAUCUCUCUAUCUGACUGUCUGUGUGUCUUUGCCCCCCCACCCCACAUCUAUCCAUCACACAGGCUUGCUUGAGGAGGGUGCCACAAGAUUCGCUCAUGGCCACUUUCUGCAAACAGGUCCCGCCUUAUUUCUUAGUUAGUUCAUGCACAGUAUGUACGUUACAUGAGUUACUUGUUAGUUUGUUAAAAUUAAUUCUUAUAACCGAUAUUCAUGGUGUCAUUUUUAACUGAAAACGUAACACAUGAAUGGAUGUUAUGGGGGUAGACAUGGGGUAAUGCAGGGGUGGAGAGAAAGAUUCAGAACACAAAAUAAAAUUCUGUGUUAAAUUUAAUAUACACUUACUUAAUGUAACUAAUAAACUAAUAUUGCAUUGGUAAAGGGAAGGGCCCUUGUUUUUAUUAAAUAUAUGUGGUUUUGUAUUACUAAUUAAACAUUUUCUACUUCUGGCAGUAUACAGGAUUGGGGUAGCUCUGGCAGACCCAGACUUGGACCAGUGUAGGCCAGGUCUGCCAUUUUUGUUGGGGUGAUUGCGGCCCUAUUCCGGCAAUGUCGGUUCAGUUUCAGCAGCCAGACCAGUGUACCUCAGAAUCAGAAAAACUUUAUUGAUCCCCGAAGGGAAACUCUUUGUUACAGCAGCUCGCCUUUACGUCAGUGCACACAGGAGAAAGUACUAGCAAAAAAAUAUAAUACA
Molecule: long non-coding RNA, 5535 nt
Organism: Siniperca chuatsi (mandarin fish)
Lineage: Eukaryota; Metazoa; Chordata; Actinopteri; Centrarchiformes; Sinipercidae
Exons: 3
Source: RefSeq, a predicted model, not a curated record